RNAcentral lists this ribosomal RNA (497 nucleotides) under uncultured bacterium. Its description in RNAcentral is "partial 16S ribosomal RNA". It matches the Rfam family "Bacterial small subunit ribosomal RNA", at positions 28 to 507 of the family's 1533-position model. The record is from RNAcentral.
GAUGAACGCUGGCGGCGUGCCUAAUACAUGCAAGUCGAGCGAACAGACGAGGAGCUUGCUCCUCUGACGUUAGCGGCGGACGGGUGAGUAACACGUGGAUAACCUACCUAUAAGACUGGGAUAACUUCGGGAAACCGGAGCUAAUACCGGAUAAUAUAUUGAACCGCAUGGUUCAAUAGUGAAAGACGGUUUUGCUGUCACUUAUAGAUGGAUCCGCGCUGCAUUAGCUAGUUGGUAAGGUAACGGCUUACCAAGGCUACGAUGCAUAGCCGACCUGAGAGGGUGAUCGGCCACACUGGAACUGAGACACGGUCCAGACUCCUACGGGAGGCAGCAGUAGGGAAUCUUCCGCAAUGGGCGAAAGCCUGACGGAGCAACGCCGCGUGAGUGAUGAAGGUCUUCGGAUCGUAAAACUCUGUUAUUAGGGAAGAACAUAUGUGUAAGUAACUGUGCACAUCUUGACGGUACCUAAUCAGAAAGCCACGGCUAACUACGUG